UUGACGAAACUGGCAAUGUUCAGUAGUCCUGAUCGGGUUCCGACUCGUGAUGGUCUGCGCAUUCAUUGUUGGUACGUGCUGGGACGUUUGGCGAGCCCUUCUGAAGGCUUCAGAGUCACCCAAGCUUCGGCCUGGUAGUGUUUUGUUGUCGGAAGUUGAUGUGCUUGCUAAGCGUAAUGUUGGCCAUGCCUCUGCGCGUUCGGCUGUUGGUUAGCGCUCUGCUUGGUAGUCGGACAUGUCUGGCUGCCUCGUACGUGUGUUGAUCAGUGGUCGCUCGCCUAUGGUCCAAUCCCGGUAUGUGAAAGUCGACCACCUAUCCGACCCGUCUUGAAACACGGACCAAGAAGUCUAGUAUGUACGCGAGUCAUUGGGUAUCAAAACCUAUUGGCGCAAUAAAUGUGAAGGGCGGCUUGUUCGUCUGAUAUGUGAU
Molecule: ribosomal RNA, 430 nt
Filed under: Pristionchus maupasi
Lineage: Eukaryota; Metazoa; Nematoda; Chromadorea; Rhabditida; Neodiplogasteridae
Description: eukaryotic LSU rRNA
Rfam family: Eukaryotic large subunit ribosomal RNA
Source: RNAcentral